GAUCCUGGCUCAGAUUGAACGCUGGCGGCAUGCCUUACACAUGCAAGUCGAACGGUAACGGGCCUUCGGGUGCCGACGAGUGGCGAACGGGUGAGUAAUGCAUCGGAACGUACCUUUCAGUGGGGGAUAACGUAGCGAAAGUUACGCUAAUACCGCAUAUUCUGUGAGCAGGAAAGCAGGGGAUCGCAAGACCUUGCGCUGAUUGAGCGGCCGAUGUCAGAUUAGCUAGUUGGUGAGGUAAAGGCUCACCAAGGCGACGAUCUGUAGCGGGUCUGAGAGGAUGAUCCGCCACACUGGAACUGAGACACGGUCCAGACUCCUACGGGAGGCAGCAGGUGGGGUAAUUUUGGACAAUGGGGGCAACCCUGAUCCAGCCAUGCCGCGUGAGUGAAGAAGGCCUUCGGGUUGUAAAGCUCUUUCGGCCGGGAAGAAAUCGCAUGGGUUAAUACCCUGUGCGGAUGACGGUACCGGCAUAAGAAGCACCGGCUAACUACGUG
This 497-nucleotide ribosomal RNA is filed under the name uncultured bacterium. RNAcentral describes it as "bacterial SSU rRNA". It matches the Rfam family "Bacterial small subunit ribosomal RNA", at positions 15 to 507 of the family's 1533-position model. The record is from RNAcentral.